GUCUUUCGCCUUGUCAUAGUUCAGCACUUUCCACUGCUGGUUGACAGCCUGCCACCGUUUAAAGAUGCGGUACACGGAGGGUCCCUCGUGGAUGAUGAGACCUGAGGCCGCAGGGAGAAGAGAAAGACAAAGGCAAGCUUAGCGAGUCUUUGGCUGCCUCGCCAAGUGCAUGAAACAGCUGGGCACCUACCUGCAGCGCCUUUGCCUGCCUUGGCUCCGCCCCUCCUGCUCCUUGGCCCCGCCCCUCCUGCUCCUUGGCCUGACAAAGUCCAAAUUCAUUGUCCACUGAGGCAUAAUAAAGUUCAUUCUGGCUCCUGGGAAACAACAGACUGAAGAGGGACAAGGGUAGGACCAGAAGACCAAGCAGGAAGUGAGGUAGUGAUUGAAGCUGGAAAUGAUGGUGGCCGAGAUGAGGAUGAGCACGGUGGAGACGGUGAGAAACCGCUGGAGUCAGGAGAUGUGACAGACAAGAAAAACUAAGGCAGUUGAAGAAAUGGGUGCUUCCUCUCCUAGACGCAAAGACAGUUUAGAGUCAAAUCACUGAGGAACAUGUACUGAACAUUCAGACACCUGCCACUUACUGGCCUUGUAGCCUGUGCCACAGGCACCUGGUCUUCUGUCUUCCAACUGUCCUUCCCAAUCCUCAGCCUGAGUCAUUGUUCAUAGAUGAACAUGCUAGAACUGAAAGGAGCUCUGAAGACCAACUGAUUCUACACUUGUGGAGGUGAGACUUCAUACCUGUGUCUCCUCUCCCACCACCGAGAACCUUCAGUGGUGCCAAGGAUGCUCCCCUCCUGCUGCGAAUUACCUGUUGUCAGACAGCUGUGGGGCAAGACUUACCCCUGAAGCCCCACCGUUGCCAAGUACUCAUCUUCCAGAUGCUACCCCUCAAGGGUCCAGAACUGGCACUUAAGUGUUAACUGGGUAGGUGUGGGAAAGAAAUCAAUAUAACCAGCUAGUUUGGGUGGGCCCAGCAGGAGCUACUGGGAGAUGCCACCACCUGCCCAAUAUUCUCCAGGGGUACAGCUCUGUGUUUCUCACAAGCGUAGCCACGCUGUACCUCUGGGGGCCUCCCUGAGGUGGUGAGAUGUGGAUCCAGGGGCUUCACGUGGGCAGGCUUACCUUGACUCAAAAGGUUCAAGUUUUAGUUCUUCAGGUGACCCCAUAAUAAAGACUCAAAAGGCUGAGAGCCUUCAAUGAGGGUGAACGCAAAGCCACCUUCCCCUUCUGUUUCCAUCCCAUCCAUGCCUUAUCAAUGGCCAGGGAGAGGGUGUCCCCUGGGAGGUGACUUCUGAAAGCACUCCCUUCCUAGCAGGACCCCUGCUGGGCCAGUUGACCUUGUUCGAGCUAUACAGAGUGUUUCUCAGUGCAUCAGAGCCAGAACCA
This is a non-coding RNA of Vicugna pacos (alpaca), 1386 nucleotides long. The record is from RefSeq and is a predicted model, not a curated record. Lineage: Eukaryota; Metazoa; Chordata; Mammalia; Artiodactyla; Camelidae.